AAGAUCUCAUCAAAAUUCAUUCAAGUUCCAAACAUUAAAAAAUCACAUAAUACAAGUUCAAUACUAUUACAUCCUUUGACACUAUUACAUUACAUCAACAGAAAGGAUUACAAAUUUCACAAAAAUACUUUCCUAAACUUAUACCGUACAUCUUUAAUCGUCAUGCUAUUUUAUCUUCAACCCUUGCUCACUUCUCAAACUUCUAGCAAUGCACAUGCUCUAGGCAUUCUCUUCUCAUUCCCUUUGCCAAUA
This is a non-coding RNA of Vicia faba (fava bean), 252 nucleotides long. The record is from the annotation of a GenBank genome assembly. NCBI's taxonomy places the organism in Eukaryota, Viridiplantae, Streptophyta, Magnoliopsida, Fabales, Fabaceae.